This 484-nucleotide ribosomal RNA is filed under the name uncultured bacterium. RNAcentral's name for it is "partial 16S ribosomal RNA". It matches the Rfam family "Bacterial small subunit ribosomal RNA", at positions 30 to 507 of the family's 1533-position model. The record is from RNAcentral.
AUUGAACGCUGGCGGCAGGCCUAACACAUGCAAGUCGAGCGGAAGAGCGGAGCUUGCUCCGGGUGCCAGCGGCGGACGGGUGAGGAAUUCCUAGGAAUCUGCCUGUUUGUGGGGGAUAACGUCCGGAAACGGGCGCUAAUACCGCAUACGUCCUGAGGGAGAAAGUGGGGGAUCGUCGGACCUCACGCUAUCAGAUGAGCCGACGUCCGAUUAGCUAGUUGGUGGGGUAAAGGCCUACCAAGGCGACGAUCCGUACCUGGUCUGAGAGGAUGAUCAGUCACACUGGAACUGAGACACGGUCCAGACUCCUACGGGAGGCAGCAGUGGGGAAUAUUGGACAAUGGGCGCAAGCCUGAUCCAGCCAUGCCGCGUGUGUGAAGAAGGCCUUCGGUUUGUAAAGCACUUUAAGUUGGGAGGAAGGGCAUUAAGUUAAUACCUUGCUGGUUUGACGGUACCGGCAGAAUAAGCACCGGCUAACUUCGUG